GUUUUUAUAGUUGAAGAACAACGGUGGUUUUUCAAGCCAUUAGUCCUGGUUAGAGUCCUGGUAGAAACU
Non-coding RNA from Larimichthys crocea (large yellow croaker), 69 nucleotides. NCBI's taxonomy places the organism in Eukaryota, Metazoa, Chordata, Actinopteri, Sciaenidae. The record is from Ensembl.